Molecule: long non-coding RNA, 2661 nt
Filed under: Homo sapiens (human)
Lineage: Eukaryota; Metazoa; Chordata; Mammalia; Primates; Hominidae
Description: HSALNT0367954
Source: RNAcentral
ACUCAAAAAAUAAAUAAAUACAUAAAUACAUAAAUAAAUAAAAAGAAAAGAAAACUGACCGCAAAAUGGGCUCUUAUUUUGAGCAUGUACAAAACACAGGUAAGUCUGAUGGUCUCGGUACAUGCGAUACUGUUAACAGUUGGAAGAGGGGAGAAACAUUUCUGGAGGUGCUAACUGAAGUGCUUGAAAUACUUUAUGUUAUUUAAUCCUCAUAACCACACUGAAGCAUCGUUGCCCUAGUUAAGCCUCUUCAGCUAAGACUCUUCAGUUGCAAGAAACAGAAACCCAUUUCAGACAGCUUUAAGCCAAACAACAACAACAAAAACAUUUGUUAUAUGGGCGUAAGGUUAUUUCACAGAACCCAAGAGUGAGAAUGCAGCUGGGUCUUCAAGGCUGACCCAAACCAAGUGCUCCUUGAGGAUCUAAAUAUAUUUUUCAUCUCCUAGAUAAACCAUAUUUCUAUAUGUUAAACUGAAUAUUUCAGAGGAAGUCACUAAUAAUAGGUGUCUCGGGGGCUUCCGUGAAGGUUCAGGGCUCUGGACAUUCCCACUCCACUCCUAUCAGAACAGCUCUGUUUUUAUUUGGUUAAUACAUCAGGAUUCUGCCUAAGAGUUCAUUGAGGAAAUAGCACUACAGCACCUCCUCUGGCCAGAUACUGUGCAAAGAAUUACAAAAUAAAUCACAGACGAGUGGAGAAGAUAGGAAAGUAAAUACACUCUAAAACAAUAAAGGAGUACAGUGACAGAAAAACGCACAGAUUAUUAAGGGAACUCAAAGAAAGUCUAGUAAGCCCAGAAAGGGGUAGGGCUUAUGGGAGGUUUCACGGAGUGGAUACCUGGAAAGGGGAGGUAAGGCAGCUCAAAGGACACUGUUGUUCAACGGAGGGAAGCGGAUUCAACAAUUAUACAAUUCGCUGAGUCGGGGCUUUCACUGCGAAAGAACUUGGCUUCGGAUCCGUGAUCAAGGCUGGGAGCUAUGGAGGUGGAUGUGAUUGGCAAAGACCUCUGCUCAGGUCUGCGUCAAACCUUGCUUCGCUCCCAUCCCAUUCUGCGCCAAUAGGGCGCAGUAUCCCAACCAUUCCACUCGGCUAGGAGGGGAUCCUAAGCCUCAAGGUCCGCAUCUCCCGCUGGAGGGACUGAGCAGCCGCACUGGUGUCCCAGAAUAGAUCGUGUUCCCCAGAGGUUGUCAGGUUCCCGCAAUUCGGCGCGGGCGAGGCGGCCAAAGAGAGGGCGCUCAUUGGCUGCCACAGCCCCGGUCCGAGAGGCCGAAGAAGGCUGAUUCGUCACAGGCCGUCAGCGCGGGCCACGCCUAUUUCCUCUCCAGGUUCUAAUUAGGUCAGGGGCCCUACAGCCUCUUGGGUAGUUUGCAAGUGCGUCGCGGAGCCGGCCUCGGAAAUAUGGCGACAGCUUCAGCUUUCAGUGCCAGCAGGAGCAUAUCACUGUGACUUACAACCCUUCUCUAGUCUGCUACAAUGGAAUCUUAAACAAGAAAAUUUUAUAUUUUGACUUGCAUCAUUGAGAAAAACACUGCCAACCUGAUCGUGGUUCCUUUGAAGAAUCACUGCAGCAGGUGCGAGAGAGGACUCAUGGAGCUUGCAGAUGAGCUAGCCCAGGUAGGACAUCUGAUGUUGGGACCCUCUUCAGAAGUGAAGCAUAUAUAAUCCCACAUGAAAUCUCUCAAGCCAUUCCAGAAGAAUGUUUUCUCAGAUAAAGGUUAUUUACCUAUUUAUAAUAAUUUAUAAUUUACAAAGCAUAUUCAUAUAUAUGAUCCCAUCUAACUCAUAAAAUUAUAUGAAAUGUAUACUAUCUCCAUUUUACAGAUGGGGAAAUUGAGCCUCAGAGUGAUAAAGUAACUUCCCCAAAGUCAUGUAGCUAGUAAAUGAAAGUGAUGAGACUCACACUAGGUUCUUCUAAGUUUUUAGAGUACUUCGUCCACGGCGCCAAGGUGUCUAGGGCAGAGACACCACAACCUCCUAAGGUAGGUUAUGCCAUUAAUGUUCCACUUGGGUGGGAAUACACACACACCCACACACACACUAUAAUUCACACUUCCUUAUAGUUAUAUUCCUCAUUCUUUGAACUUAAUCCAUGGUAAAGAAUUAUUUAUUAUGGUGGGGUAGAAGGAGACCCUUUGAGAUUUGAAGACACUGAUUAACCAUGUUAGUGUUUUUCCUCAGGCAAAAUAUUCAUGGGCUCUUUUACCAUAACUUGCUGUCCUUAUUUCCUCAUUAAAUUUCAAGUUUCCACAAAAUAAGAAAAGAAACAACUAAAGAAGAAAUUGUUGGAAGGCAUGGAGCAAAGUGUAAGAACAACUAAGUAAACAUGUACAUUUUGCAUUUUUAAAAAAUUCAGUGGCCAUAAUACCACUGGCCAACAGGCUGAUCAAAUAAUCCCUGAAACAAAGAGUUAUAUGUUACGGAGGGGAUUGAAUCAGAAUACAGAAAAGAGAGACUUGAGAGGUUAAGACAAAACAUCCUGGGAAAUACACCUAUUAAAAUAUGGUAACUAGCUGUUCUCCAUUUCUUUCAAGACAGAAUGGGAAAUGGAGGUAAACACAGCAAGAGUAUUAGUCGGUUAGACAACAGGAAUAUUUUGCUGAUUUUUGUUGUUGUUGUUUUGUUUUUGUUUUUGUUUUUGAGACAGUGUCUUGCUGCGACACCCA